This 459-nucleotide ribosomal RNA is filed under the name uncultured bacterium. Its description in RNAcentral is "partial 16S ribosomal RNA". It matches the Rfam family "Bacterial small subunit ribosomal RNA", at positions 29 to 523 of the family's 1533-position model. The record is from RNAcentral.
AAUGAACGCUGGCGGCAGGCCUAAAGCAUGCAAGUCGAACGGUAACAGGUCUUCGGAUGCUGACGAGUGGCGCACGGGUGAGUAACACGUGGGAAUAUGCCUUUUGGUACGGAACAACAGUUGGAAACGACUGCUAAUAACGUAUGGUCCCUUCGGGGUAAAGAUUUAUCGCCAAAAGAUUAGCCCGCGUUGGAUUAGCUAGUGGGUAGGGUAAUGGCCUACCAAGGCUACGAUCUAUAGCUGGUCUGAGAGGAUGAUCAGCCACACUGGAACUGAGACACGGUCCAGACUCCUACGGGAGGCAGCAGUUAGGAAUAUUGGACAAUGGGCGCAAGCCUGAUCCAGCCAUGCCGCGUGAGUGAUGAAGGCCUUCGGGUUGUAAAGCUCUUUAGCCGACGAAUAUAAUGACUGUAGUCGGAAAAUAAGCCCCGGCUAACUUCGUGCCAGCCGCCGCCAUAA